CUAUUCAACCGCCAAGGAUAGUCCAUACAUCCCCUUCCAAACAUAUUUUAUUUAGGUACCAGUAGACUCCUUGAUAGUAGCACUAAUAUAACUCUAGCAGCUUGAGAAGAAUCCAGUAUAUAAAGGUAGUGAGUACAUCAAAUAAUCCAUAAUCCACGCCACUAACACGUUUCUUUACAUCUUCUAUACAUUCUGCUUCCAAUACUAUCGGCACUCACUGCUUAUUUUGUUGGAUCUUCUUUGCUUAAGAUGCUACAUUACCUUACUGAAGUUUCAUUUGCAAGCAGCUCAUAAUAGUUACAUAUAUAUACUCAUGCCCCAAAUGACUACACAGAUGGACCCAAAAACAAAUCUUAUGAUAUCGCUGCCAAGUUAUCAAGUUUUUGCAUAACUUAAGAUUGGAAAGAAAUUUGGAUUAAGCGUGAGUAAAACAAUACAUGGAACUGAAAUUGCACAUAAUUUACAACUUAAAUAAAACAUAUGAAGUCCAGACUCAUUGUCAAAAGGGAGCAAUGAGUACAGUGCUAAUUCGCACUCAGUGACGUAAAUUCCCAGAUCAGCCUCUGAUUUUAAAUCAAAUGUGUAUCACAACUCGCAAACAACUGGUUAAUUUGUUUUUUUCUCAAAUUACUUGAAGCAGCACAUAAAUUACAUCUUAAUAAAACAUACAAAAGUCUAGGGAGCAAUGAACACAGUGCUAAUUCGCACUCACUGAUGUAAAAUUCCCAGAAUGUCUUUGAUUUUUUAUCAAUUUGUAUCAUAACUACCAAACAACUGGUUAAUUUGUUUUUUUCUCAAAUUACUUGAAGCAGCACAUAAAUUACAUCUUAAUAAAACAUACAAAAGUCUAGGGAGCAAUGAACACAGUGCUAAUUCGCACUCACUGAUGUAAAAUUCCCAGAAUGUCUUUGAUUUUUUAUCAAUUUGUAUCAUAACUACCAAACAACUGGUUAAUUUGUUUUUUUCUCAAAUUACUUGAAACGGCACAUAAUUUACAUCUUAAAUAAAGCAUACAAAGUUCAGACUCAUAGUCAAAAAGGAGCAAUGAACACAAUGCUAAUUCGCACUCACCGACAUAAAUUUUCAGCUCUCAGCUCAUCCGCUAUCAACUCAAAGGGAAUCAUGUAUCAACUCCCAAACAACUGGUUGAUUUACAAUUUUUUUCCUCAAAUUACUCAGAACGUGAUAUCUACCAAAUUAGAAUACUUAGAAGCUAAAAUAUGGUAUUUCAACCAAUUUCAAGAUGUAUAAACAGGCAAAUGGAUCUGAAAAUGGAA
Molecule: long non-coding RNA, 1277 nt
Filed under: Solanum tuberosum (potato)
Lineage: Eukaryota; Viridiplantae; Streptophyta; Magnoliopsida; Solanales; Solanaceae
Description: long non-coding RNA (STUB_LNC008625)
Source: RNAcentral